RNAcentral lists this ribosomal RNA (253 nucleotides) under uncultured bacterium. RNAcentral describes it as "partial 16S ribosomal RNA". It matches the Rfam family "Bacterial small subunit ribosomal RNA", at positions 524 to 776 of the family's 1533-position model. The record is from RNAcentral.
GACGAGGGGUCCUAGCGUUGUUCGGAAUCACUGGGCGUAAAGCGCGUGUAGGCGGCUUUGCAAGUCGGAUGUGAAAGCCCACGGCUCAACCGUGGAAGUGCAUCCGAAACUGCAUGGCUUGAGUCUCGGAGAGGAAGGUGGAAUGCUUGGUGUAGAGGUGAAAUUCGUAGAUAUCAAGCAGAACACCUGCGGCGAAGGCGGCCUUCUGGACGAUGACUGACGCUGAGACGCGAAAGCGUGGGGAGCAAACAGG